GACGAACGCUGGCGGCGUGCCUAAUACAUGCAAGUAGAACGCUGAAGGAGGAGCUUGCUUCUCUGGAUGAGUUGCGAACGGGUGAGUAACGCGUAGGUAACCUGCCUGGUAGCGGGGGAUAACUAUUGGAAACGAUAGCUAAUACCGCAUAAUAGUAGAUGUCGCAUGACAUUUGCUUAAAAGGUGCAAUUGCAUCACUACCAGAUGGACCUGCGUUGUAUUAGCUAGUUGGUGAGGUAACGGCUCACCAAGGCAACGAUACAUAGCCGACCUGAGAGGGGGAUCGGCCACACUGGGACUGAGACACGGCCCAGACUCCUACGGGAGGCAGCAGGAGGGAAUCUUCGGCAAUGGACGGAAGUCUGACCGAGCAACGCCGCGGGAGGGAAGAAGGUUGUCGGAUCGUAAAGCUCUGUUGUAAGAGAAGAACGAGUGUGAGAGUGGAAAGUUCACACUGUGACGGUAUCUUAACAGAAAGGGACGGCUAACUACGUG
This 495-nucleotide ribosomal RNA is filed under the name uncultured bacterium. RNAcentral's name for it is "partial 16S ribosomal RNA". It matches the Rfam family "Bacterial small subunit ribosomal RNA", at positions 28 to 507 of the family's 1533-position model. The record is from RNAcentral.